Molecule: ribosomal RNA, 464 nt
Filed under: uncultured bacterium
Lineage: Bacteria
Description: partial 16S ribosomal RNA
Rfam family: Bacterial small subunit ribosomal RNA
Source: RNAcentral
GACGAACGCUGGCGGCGUGCUUAACACAUGCAAGUCGAACGGAAAGGCCCCUUUGGGGGUACUCGAGUGGCGAACGGGUGAGUAACACGUGAGUAACCUGCCCUUGACUUCGGGAUAACUUCAGGAAACUGGGGCUAAUACCGGAUAGGAAUCCUUGCUGCAUGGUGGGGGUUGGAAAGCUUCGGCGGUUUUGGAUGGACUCGCGGCUUAUCAGCUUGUUGGUGGGGUAGUGGCUUACCAAGGCUUUGACGGGUAGCCGGCCUGAGAGGGCGACCGGCCAAAUUGGGACUACGGUACGGCCCAGACUCCUACGGGAGGCAACGGUGGGGAAUAUUGCAAAAUGGUGCGAAGCCUGAUGCGACAACCCCGCGUGCGGAAUGACGGCCUUCGGGUUGUAAACCGCUUUCACCAGGGGCGAAGCUUUUGGGAGCGUAACCAGAAAAAAAAGCCCCGGUAAAUUCGUG